GAUGAAGAACGCAGCGAAAUGCUAUAAGUAGUGUGAAUUGCAGAAUUCAGUGAAUCAUCGAAUCUUUGAACGCACAUUGCGCCCCUUGGUAUCCCGAGGGGCAUGCCUGUUCGAGCGUCAUUUCACCACUCAAGCCUGGCUUGGUGUUGGGCGACGUCCUCUUUGGGGACGCGCCUCGAAACGCUCGGCGGCGUGGCACCGGCUUUAAGCGUAGCAGAAUCUUUCGCUUUGGAAGUCGGGGCCCCGUCUGCCGGAAGACCUGCUCGCAAGGUUGACCUCGGAUCAGGCAGGGAUACCCGCUGAACUUAAGCAUAUCAAUAAGCGGAGGA
This 329-nucleotide unclassified non-coding RNA is filed under the name soil metagenome. Its description in RNAcentral is "partial contains 5.8S ribosomal RNA, internal transcribed spacer 2, and large subunit ribosomal RNA". The stretch from base 1 to 120 matches the Rfam family "5.8S ribosomal RNA", at positions 35 to 154 of the family's 154-position model. The record is from RNAcentral.